CACACACACACACAUCUAUAUAUAUAUAUACACACAUACACACACACACACACACACACACACAUAUAUAUAUGCACACAUAUAUAUGUACAUACACACACAUAAAUAUGUAUAUAUAUAUGUUUGUUAUUCGAGCUAUGAUCUUGCUCACUGAACUGAUGUGGGCUGAAAAAGGUAUGAUAUUAGACAUGGUAGUAUUCCAGCUUGUACACUGUGCCAGAAAGCUAGAAAAGAGUAUAAAAAAAAAUCAGAUACAACUACAAAGUUAGCAUAUCAUCUUACAAAAAUGAAAAUAAAAAACUUUACAGUAUAUGACCGAAUAAUACUUUUUUGAUUUCUAAUUCAGCUCUUAAUUCAUUGGACUGUUUAGUUAAAUAUCAACUUUGUUAUACAUAGACUAUAUUAAUUUUAUCAAAGUUAGCAAUCUGUGCACUUAUAUAAAGAGUCUCAAUGCAUGCAUGAUCAAGUAUGUGAUUUAGGUGAAAGUCUCUAGAGUUUACAUUUUAUUUUCUUUCAAAGACAUACUCUUAAAUGAAAAUUAGUUUGGAAAAAAAAGAAGAUUACAUUCUAAACUUAAUAAUGGAGAAUACAUACACAGGUUGAACACCAAUAUGCACAUGUAUUUCAGAUG
RNAcentral lists this long non-coding RNA (631 nucleotides) under Phoenix dactylifera (date palm). Its description in RNAcentral is "long non-coding RNA (PDAC_LNC020282)". The record is from RNAcentral. Lineage: Eukaryota; Viridiplantae; Streptophyta; Magnoliopsida; Arecales; Arecaceae.